This 406-nucleotide ribosomal RNA is filed under the name uncultured bacterium. RNAcentral's name for it is "partial 16S ribosomal RNA". It matches the Rfam family "Bacterial small subunit ribosomal RNA", at positions 30 to 526 of the family's 1533-position model. The record is from RNAcentral.
AUUGAACGCUGGCGGCAGGCCUAACACAUGCAAGUCGAACGAGUGGCGGACGGGGGAGUAAUGUCUGGGAAACUGCCCGAUGGAGGGGGAUAACUACUGGAGACGGUAGCUAAUACCGCAUACCAUCUGAUGUGCCCACAUGUGAUUAGCUUGUAGGUGAGGUAACGGCUCACCUAGGCGACGAUCCCUAGCUGGUCUGAGAGGAUGACCAGCCAAACUGGGACUGAGACACGGUCCAGACUCCUACGGGAGGCAGCAGUGGGGAAUAUUGCACAAUGGGCGCAAGCCUGAUGCAGCCAGGCCGCGUGUAUGAAGAAGGCCUUCGGGUUGUAAAGUACUUUCAGCGGGGAGGCGUUACCGGCAGAAGAAGCACCGGCUAACUCCGUGCCAGCAGCCGCGGUAAUAC